Cavia porcellus (domestic guinea pig) is the source of this 2756-nucleotide long non-coding RNA. RefSeq lists it as uncharacterized. The record is from RefSeq and is a predicted model, not a curated record. Lineage: Eukaryota; Metazoa; Chordata; Mammalia; Rodentia; Caviidae. The transcript is spliced from 3 exons.
CAGACAGCAAAUGGUCGAGGUGAUUCUCCCCUGGGAGCCUGAGCCAGUAUCUCCACCUUUCUGUGCCUGGGUUUUCCCUACUUGGCAGGUAGGGGUGAAAAUGUCACCCCGCCUCAUAACCCUGAGGGUUACAUGAGCUAACCUCCCAAAACCACUGUGAGUCUGACAGGAAGUGAAGCACUCCGCGUGUUUUGUGACUGUGACUGUGUUUCUUUGACUUCCAUCGAACAUCUGCCUUCAACUCCACAAAGUAAGCGAGCAAACACACACGCUUUCAUUAAGCCUUCUUCUUUUUUUGUCUUUUCAUGGCCUAGUUAGUAUAUGAAUGCAGCCUCCUAAUUCAAAAAGCUUCAGCCAUACCGUGGCAGUGGGUUGCAGUGGACCCCAAAACGUCACAGUCACCUGGAACCCGGAUAUGACUUACUUGGAAAUAGUGCCAUCAAAGGUAGGAUUGAUUGGAGAUCUCAAGAUGAAAUCAUUCUGAUUUAGAGUGCCCUAAAUUCAGCAGGACACGAGGACUCCCGGGGAGGAAGGCCUUGUGACAGCAGGAGAGAACUGGCUGCCACCAGCCGGGGAAGAUCUGGGCCACCAGGAGCCUGAUGGGCAGGAAGGAUUCUUUCCGAGAGCCUUUGGAGACAGCGUAAACCUGCCAGUAGCCUAAUGCUUGACUUCUGGCCUCCAGAACAAUGGGAAUGAAUCAGUUCCUGUUGCUUCCAGCCACCUAUUUUGGGAUGAUUUGCUCCGGCUAGGAAAUCAUCAAAGCCCUUUCUCCCCCAUGGGCAAUGCCUCUAAUUUACAGUUAAUACAAGGGGAAGCAACACAACUCAAAAGAAUAGCAGUACCAAGCCGUAUGAAGACAUCCAGACCCAAAUCCAGGAGAAAGUCUGACACUUCGGUCCUAACACUCUGAGUUUGAGAGAAGAGCAAAUCUCAUGCAAAAUAAGAUGACAAACUGGAUGGUCGCCUUCCACAACCUGGAUGCUGAUCUGAUUAAGGAGACACAUUCAAUGGCACUUUCCUGUGUCAGCUGGAAAAAAGGUACAAGUCUAACGUUUUUAAGAAGUGCAUGGAACCAUCAAGACCUGAUGAGAAGCAGCACCAAAUAAAGGCUUUUCUGGUGCAAAGCAAAGGUCAGCAGCGUUUUACGGACAAAGACAGGGAACAAUCUUGGUUUCUUAGGCAAGGCGGCCCCAUGAGAAAAUCCUUCGGUAUAUUAAAUGUGAUCUGCUUUUGCAGAGCCCAAAGGGCUCCUUCUCGCUGCCUUCACUCACCCCCACCAGGUACCAUCCAUGCCCAGUAGCGGGUCCCUCUUGGUGGCCUCUGGGUAGGCUACGACUCUCUGACAAGUCUGUCUCUUUUGCCCUUUUAUCCUAACCCUUUCCGGUCACGUGAGGCUUCUUUCGACUUUUGUCUCUUUCUCCUCUUCAUUCCGCUCCCUCUCGCAUGUGAAUAAGAGGAGCGGUUUCUCCUUCAUCUUCUCUCCCUCUACGUGCUUCUUGUCAUCACCCCCAACACCGCCACCCCGUGCCUCUUUGAUCAGCACCUGGCGUGUUUUAGCUAUUGCCACUAUUGUCUCCAAAUGCGCACGUCUAUGAUCCAUCAGAGCUCCAGUCGAAUAAAUUCUCAAUCUUCCUCGGAGCCUUCCCAGAUUUUUUCCAACCUGAUGUAAUACUUCUUGGUUAUUAACUUGGGCUCUCACGGUACUCAUUAUAUUCUUUGGGAAAGCAUUGUUUACUGAGCUACAUACGACAAGUAUUGGGCUCCAUGCCUUAUGUGUAGUAUCUCCUUUGUCCUUGAAAAGUCCGUAUUACUCCAUCUAUCCUGUGAGGAAACCAAAACACCCAGAAGAUAAGCUACUUUUUCAGACUCAUCAAGCAAAUAUAAUUAAGCUCAUUUGACUUUUUGUGGCCCUUCUCCAUCAAAUACCCCCUAAAGGUGAGGUUGGUCUGUCUUAGCUUUCUCUCCCCUGAGGCUCAAAGGAAGAAAGUGAAUGUAAACGCCCAGUGUUGAUUUGAAAUGAAAGUGCCAUUUGCAUGCCAGAUGCUGGUGCUGUGAUUUUUUUUCAAAUAGACAUUUAUAUAACAAUGUAGACUUUACAGUACAUUUCCUUUCCUUUCCUAUUUUAAUGGUACUGGGGAUUGAACCAAACUUACAAUGCAUAUUCACUAAGCUAUCGUGGCAAUCCUGAGAGAUACCUGUUAUCAUCGUCUCCCUUUUUCACAUGAGAAUCAGGGAGGCAGAGAGGUUAAUUGGCUUUCUCCAGUGCAAACUGCCAACAGUAGCAGAGCCAAGACUCAAAUAAAUGCAAUACCUCCUCCAUCCGCUGGCAAUAUACCACUAUUACCUUUUGUCCAGUACUGAGAUUUAACAGAUGGUGUAAUGCAUAGAUGACAAAAUCAACCUUACCUGGGUUUCAAAUCCUGCAGGAAAUGCAAUGGUUACAAGUUAGCAGAAAACUCUGCUGCCAGAGUUCAGUUCUUAUGAAGGGCAAGAGAGAAUCCAGAACCAGACCAAGUGAAAGAAAUCUCUCAAGUGGUUCAGCUCAAGUUGUUCCUUUAAUUGAAAUACAGAUUUAUGUAAAAUAAUGAACCAAAAGAUCUUGAAGAACUCUGAACAUUGGUCUUCCUCGCUCAUAAAGACUUCUGGAAAUUUCUUCCUUCAGAAAGGUCUUUUCUCUUUGUUUGCUUCUUGUGCUACUGAGAAUUAAACCCAGGGCCCUUGCACUGAGAUACAUUUGCAUGCCGUUUCUUUUUUAU